RNAcentral lists this ribosomal RNA (1707 nucleotides) under Triticum aestivum (bread wheat). RNAcentral's name for it is "partial small subunit ribosomal RNA". The record is from RNAcentral. Lineage: Eukaryota; Viridiplantae; Streptophyta; Magnoliopsida; Poales; Poaceae.
AUGCUCAGAAAAAUGAAGACACGGAAGCAUGAACAUGAUGAGGUUCCUCACACAAGCCCAGCCCUUCCAUCUGCUCAAGUCCAGCAACCACAGCUACAACCAACUGUAUCCAAUAACCGCUGCUUUCUUCAUUUUCUACCGUAUUUGAGGCAGCCCAAGGAAAUCACAUAUAAUUCUUGUCAACUGAAACCCAAGGUUGAGGCAAGUGAUUACUUCGAUUCUCCGUCAGCAAAAUCAAUAGGCAAGUUCUUCUCCAAACCUGCACCUGAGCCUACGUACGAAGCUGUUCUGCAGGAGCAACUAAGAGAAACUGAGAACCGCGCAAAGGAACUCAAGCAAGAGUGGCAAACAAGUGGCUGCACUGUAAUUGUUGAUAGUUGGAAGAGCAAGUGUGACAAAAGCUUCGUAAGUGUCCUGGUGCACUGCAGCAAAGGUACGCAGUUCCUCACAUCCAUUGACGUCUCUGAAAUCACUGAGGACUUGGAUGAGCUAGAGUCAAUGCUUUCUCGCGUGGUUGAUGAUGUCGGUGCCCAUAACAUUGUUCAGAUUGUCAUGAAUGACGUGUCACCCCAUAUGCAGAUGGCACGGCAGUAUGUGCUAAAUAAAUAUGACAGUUUUUUCUUCGUGCUAUGUGCUGACCAUUGCAUCAACCUUCUGCUUGAGAAAAUAGCAGCGCUCGAGCAUGUCAGUGAAGUCCUAAUGAAGGCAAGGGAAAUUACAAGGUUUUUAUAUGGCCAUGCACUGCCAAUGAAACUGAAAGGAAGAUAUGUUCAGGUGGAGAUUUUGAGCAGUUCUUAUCUGAGAUUUGUGGCAGUGUUCAUCACAUUAGAGAGGUUAGUUUCUGCAAGAGUAGGUCUGGUGCAGAUGUUCAGCUCGCCUAAGUGGGUUCCCUCUGGUUGGGCUUGUCUUGAUUUGUUUGAGCAUAUCCAGAGCAUAGUAAAGACAGACGAUGAAUUUUGGCAUGCUGCUGCUGAAGUCGUGAAGGUUACAAAACCACUUGUCAGUGUGUUGUAUAAACUGGAAUCUGAUAUCUGUGCGAUGGGUAUCUUGUAUGAAGCCAUGGACAGAGCAAAAGAAGAGAUAUCUCUCAGUGUCGGAUAUGAAAGUGACUUCUAUUGGUGUAUGAUUGACAGGAUAUGGGAUGGUUACUUGCAUAGUCCCCUCCAUGCUGCUGGUCAGAUGCUAAACCCAAGGUUGUUUUACACAGCUGGAUUCCAGCCUGAUGCUGAGAUCAGCAGCGGCAUCGCGGCAUGCACAAUCCAACUGGACAAGGCUCAUUACAAUGCCAGAAAAGCGUCUGCACAAUUGGAAGUGUAUGAAAAGAAGUUGGGCUAUUUCGACACAGAUCCAGCAAUGCAGCAAAUCAUGGAAUUACCACAAGUUGAAUGGUGGUCGACGCACGGGGCUCGCGUGCCCGACCUGCAGACCCUGGCGAGGCGUGUCCUGAGCCAGACGUGCUUCGGCGCAACCAGGUACAACAUCGACUGGAGCCUGUCGGAGAAGCUGCACGCCCAGUGGGACGAGAUGACGCCGCCCGAACAGGAGAGGUUCCGGCAGAAGGAGUACGUCCACUACAACCGCGUCCUCGCCCGCGCCGCCCCUCUCCUGCACGGCUCCUCCGUGAGGCAGCACGACAGGGUGACCAUGGUGCUGCAGGACUGGAUCAGGCCGCAGAAACAGGCCGCUGGGUCGCCACUGACUGAGUGA